CCCAGAAACCGCCAUUUUUUUCCUUCUCCUGGAAGCUCCCUUCUCCCCUGCCUCUUUCGUCAGAGUUCGUCGGAGAUGAACGUGCUCUGCCCGUCCUCGUCGGCGGCGACUCCUCCUCCUCCGGCGCCGGCCGCCGGCGCACCAGGUGCGCGUUGUACGAUUGCGCUCUCCGUUGGGUGAUUUGUCCCGCCAAAUGAAUGCGACGCGUCGUGUUUUUUCAUGUGCUUUUCGUUGUGACCCAAGGCGUCGGCGUCGCCGUCGGCGGCGAAGCGCGGGAGGAAGAGAGGCGGCGGCAAUGUUACUACUACCGCUGCGCCGGCGCGCUCCUCCGCGCCGCCGUCCUCGGCGACCUCCACCACCUCGCUAGGAUGGCGGCGGAGGUGGACGCGGCGGCGCCUGGCGGCGGCGAGGGUGCCGGCGGAGUCCGAUCGCGGUGCGGCCGCGGGGCGCUGCACCUGGCCGCGGCCAACGGCCGCACGCACGUCUGCCGCUUCCUGCUCGAGGGCCUCGGCCUCCCCGUCGACGCGCUCUCCGCCUCAGGUGAGACGCCGCUGCUGCUGGCGGCCACGUUCGGGCACACCUCAACGGCGGCCUACCUCCUGGACCGCGGCGCCGACCCGUCCACGCCGGACCCCAACGGCGGCGACACCCCGCUCCACUGGGCCGCCUACAACGGGGAUCGCGAGCUGGCGAAGCUGCUGCUGCUCAGGGGAGCCGACGUGGGCGCGGCGAACCCCCGCGGCACGGCGCUGCAUGUCGCCGCUGCACGGGGGCACGCCGCCGUCGUCAGCGUCUUGCUGAACCACGGCGCUGAUCCCAACAAGAUUGCCAAUAUCGUCUUCACACCGUUGGUUUCUUCACUUUUGGGGGGAUCAUUGGAAUGCAUGAAGUUGCUCAUUCAGGCCGGUGCUAACGUUAAUGGUGCUGGAUUCAAUGGAGCAACUCCUCUGCUGUUAGCAUGUAGUCGUACCGGGUCCAUUGGAUUCAUCAAGUGCUUGGUGGAAUCUGGGGCAGAUCCAAACAUUCCAGACGAACUUGAUAGGUUACCAAUAGAAAUUGCUGCAAUCCAUGCCGAACGGGAAGUCAUUGAGGUUCUAUUGCCAUUGACCCACCAAGUACCUACUCUUCUAGAUUGGAGUGUUGGUGGGAUCAUCAGAUAUGUAAAAUAUCCUGCUUACAAGGAAUGGUUUUCUGAACAGGCAAGAAAUGCAUCAUGUAAAAGGAAGGAUGAACUCAAACUACAAGGCAACUCCUCUUUCAACAACGAGGACUACGAUGCUGCAAUACUGCUAUACAGCAUGGCAAUGAAGUUCGACAACACCGACGCAAAGUUAUAUUCAAACAGGAGUGCUUGCUGGUUAAACCUUGGCAUAGGCGAUGAGGCACUCUCAGAUGCUCAGAUCUGCAGCAAGAUGCAACCGGACUGGGCGAAAGGCUAUUACCGUCAAGGAAUGGCCUUCUCUUUGCUACAGGAUUAUGCCAGUGCUUCUUAUGUGCUUCGCAGGGCCUUAAAGUUGGAUCCACAAAAUGCCACAGUCGCCAAAGCAUUGCGGGAUGUCUUGGAAACUGCGUGUCCAAGGAUGGAAGAAUCUGGUCUAGCUUUUGUUCAUCAGAAGAAACGAGAUUGGAGCCCCGCAGCUGCAGGGAGUGAGCUAAACCAGAUCCUGAACCAUACAUAGAUUCAUCCAGGGCCAGAAGAGAGAGAGAGAAAGGAGGGGUGACAGUGUGACAGAGAUUGCUGGAUAGGCUGGGAGUAGCGACGAGACAAGAAAGGACGAGACAAAAUAAAAGAUUCACCGCGCCGAGAUGAACAUGCGCCUUGCCAUUAGCGCCCCUCCUCGCACCAAAAUGACAACCCGCAAACCGGCCCCAAUCCUGAACAUUAGUAUUUGUUUUUUUAUAAUCUUCACAGAAUACUACUCUACUGUAUUUUACUACAGUGUUCAAGAUGAUUACAUGGUUGUUAGUGGUAAUCUAAUCUUGGAGCGAGAAGAGCAGCAUUCUUGUCAUCAGUAUGGUUGGCGUUUGCCGUCUU
Non-coding RNA from Oryza sativa Japonica Group (Japanese rice), 2035 nucleotides. Lineage: Eukaryota; Viridiplantae; Streptophyta; Magnoliopsida; Poales; Poaceae. The record is from RefSeq and is a predicted model, not a curated record.